RNAcentral lists this long non-coding RNA (754 nucleotides) under Scleropages formosus (Asian bonytongue). RNAcentral's name for it is "lncRNA (ENSSFOG00015029957.1)". Lineage: Eukaryota; Metazoa; Chordata; Actinopteri; Osteoglossiformes; Osteoglossidae. The record is from RNAcentral.
GCGUUACAAAAUAUGUACCUGUUGAUGUUUAUUGUCACUUUUCAUUGAUUAAGAAUAACCGAUUUUCCCCGAGUCUCUUUCAUUAACGAUGAUAAUAACAAGGAAAGCGCACAAUUCUUGGUCACAUGGAUUGAUGGAAUAUGAGGCAGUUCUUUUUGUAAACUAAACAUUAUUAUACACGCGGAAGUUUCUCGAAUUGUUCAAGGUCUGCAUGUUUGGUCUCCGGUACAGAAAUGUUGUUGGACACACCUUUCUCUAAGUUUUUCCUGCAUUGAUUUCUCUGUGCAAUAGAAGCGUUAGAAGCGCGAACGCGCGGCGAGCGCGGACACUUAGCGGCGCGAGCCCUGUCGCGCGGCGCCUCGCUCUCCGUCGGACACUGCGGAGGGGGGGUUCCGGGGUGUCCUCAGUGCCACUAAGGCUUUCCUCCAUUAGGGAACAAGGCCCGCCAUUGUGGCAGCGAGUGCGAUGCUGUCGGAGAUGGAACCCCCAGGAGCUGCUCAGGUGCAACCAGAGUCCGGAACAGAGUCCUUUCAUCAGUGCCUACACGUUGGCACGAAGCUUGAACUCUCCAACCUUCAGGGGAAUCACCGUGCUUUUCAGUUGGCCGUCAAUAAAAGGGACGCGCGCCAUUCAAUCCAAUUAGUGAAAUUCCGUCUGAUUACUGCUUUUUACAUUUUUUCCCCCCCAAACAAAUCACAUUUUCGCUUCGCCCCCAUCCAUCAUCUGCCAAUUUCACUGGAAGUAAGAGUGCCAC